Podarcis lilfordi (Lilford's wall lizard) is the source of this 79-nucleotide non-coding RNA. Lineage: Eukaryota; Metazoa; Chordata; Lepidosauria; Squamata; Lacertidae. The record is from the annotation of a GenBank genome assembly.
GUGCUGCACAGGAUGGCUCAAUGGUCAGAGCAUGAGAUUCUUAAUCUCAGGGUUGGGGGUUCAAGCCCCAUGCUGGACG